Oryctolagus cuniculus (rabbit) is the source of this 6216-nucleotide non-coding RNA. The record is from RefSeq and is a predicted model, not a curated record. Lineage: Eukaryota; Metazoa; Chordata; Mammalia; Lagomorpha; Leporidae.
GGCCCGGGGUUAUGGGGGGAGCGCUGUGGGGGUGAAGAGUGGUCGCGAUUAGGAGUGCAUCGUAGACAGCAGGCAAGCACAGUGGGUUUGAUCCGGGGUCUUGGCAGCUUGAAGUGUGCUUAGUCCCUGCCUCCCUGGUCUGUUCUGGCCCGUGGGAUGCGCGGAUCAGCCUCCAGCUCGCCUCGAGCCUCCUGCCGGUUCUCUGGGAGAGGGAAGAUGGCCCGUGAGCGCAAGGACGCUCUUGCCUUCUCCUCUCCUCCACAUUUCUCCCCAGAGGGGUCCGCGUGGGCUGUCUUCUCGUUCUCACCUCCCGUUCGCUGUGCAGCCCACUGCAAUCUGGCUUCCACUCCCACCACACCACCAGAUUCCCCUCUCCCUGGUUACCAGGCACCUCCUGAAGCACGGAGCCCCAGACACCCUCCGCUCCGUGGCCCACGCCCACCCGCCUGUCCCCCACCCCCGGCUCUCAUGGGGGCUCCAGGCGGUGAGGGGCAGGGGCGUGGGCUUCUCGCAAGCGCCGCUGGUGCACGGAUGGCCGAGAACAGCAGUGCCAGCCUCACCGGCCGUCUUCUGUGGGGACCCCCUUCUUGGGCUCUUCUGCCUUUGCUCACCCCCCACCCCCGUGCCUAACCUGACCCUGUUCCCCUCACCCAUGCUUCCUCCGCCCAGGUCACCCCCGAAUCAAGCAGGGUUCCCCGGGUCACACUCCCGAGGCGUGUACUGGGACGGAGGGAGGGCUGUGCACGUUGGAAAAGCCGGGCCGUGGGGUCCGAGCACUCGUCCAGGGCGCUGCCGCCUGCAUUGAUGCCCUUGGGGACCUCGUCCACACGCACGGUUGCCAUUGUUGGCGUCUUCCUGGGUUCUGCUGGCUCCUGUGUCUCCCUCCUCCGUCCCCUUGCUGUGCCAGCUCCUUGCCUCCUGCCCCAGCCGUGCCAACUCCCAGGUUCCCACACUGACCGCAGCUGCUCCCCUCCCAGCACUCGCUCUGUCCCUCUCCUCCGCUUUCCCUCCUUUGAGCCCAGAAGCUCUGUCCCUCCUCGUGCACGGUGGGACGCCAUCACUUGCAUCUGGCACAGGUUCCUGUCCCUGACCUUCCCCACUCUUCUGAACCUGAGUUUCUCUGUCUUCCCCGGAAGAGCCGCGGCUGUCCUUCGCACACAGGACCCGACAGAGGGCAGGUGCGCAGCGAGCGUUUCAUGAGUGAGUGAAUGAAUGAGUGAGCGAGGUAGGGGCUGGUCCUACCUCUCAGACUCAGCUCUUGUCAGUCCCCAAGACCCAGCCUGGGUCCCAGCUGCCUCCCUGGGUGUGUGCCCGUGCUGCUGAUGGUGGGUGGCGGAUACCCUGGCUCCAGUAACAGGGACCAGAAAACCGUGGCUGUCACAGGUUCAGGUUUGGCCAGAGCUGGCAGGUGUGGGUCUCAGCCACCUCAGCGGGGGCCCUGAAGCCAUCCCAGGGUGACAGGUGCGCCUCCAGCAUCUCACUCGCAUUCCAGCCUGGAAGAGAAGGACAACAGGACAAACAGUGACUGCCGUGGGUCAGUGUCCUGGAGACCUCCUCUCACAUCCCCCUGCUCAGAGCGCUGCCACGUGCUGGCUUCUGGCUUCAGAGGGGCUGGAGCGCGUAUUUUAGCUGCUCGUAUUUUCACCUCCAAUUUCUGUCACUUCUGGCCCGCGCGGACCUGCCCUUCCCCUCUCCACCGAAAUGUUCCCUCUGCUCCACAUUUCUUUAUAUUUUUUUUAAAGAUUUAUUUAUUUAUUUAUUUGAAAGAGUUACACAGAGAGAGAAAGAGGGGCAGAGAGAGAGAGAAAGAGAGAGAGGUCUUCCAGCCAUUGGUUCACUCCCCAGAUGGCUACAGUGGCUGAGGCUGGGGGCCAGGCUGAAGCCAGGAGCCAGGAACUCCAUCCAGGUCUCUCACAUGAGUGACAGGGUCCCAAGCACUCAGGCUUCCUCCGCUGCCUUCCCAGGUGCAUUAACAGGGAGCUGGAUGGAAGUGGAACAGCCGGGACUCAAACCUGGGCCCACGUGGCAAUGCUGGCAUGGCAGGCAGUGGCUUAACCUACAGGGCCACAGCGCUGGCCCCUAUCUGAUGGAUUUUUAAAAAAUAUUUAUUUAUUUAUUUGAAAUAUUCAGAGUUGGGAGGAGAGACACAUAGAGAUCUCCCAUCUGCCGGUUCAUUCUCCAGAUGGCUACAAGGCCAGGGCUGAGCCAGGCUGAAGCCGGGAGCCAGGAGCUUCAUCCAGGUCUCCCAUGUGGGUGGCAGUGGCUCAAGCACUUGGGCCAUCCUCCACUGUAUUUCCCAGGUGCAUUAGCAGGGAGCUGGAUUGAAAGUGGAGCAGCCAGGACAGGAGCUGGUGCCCACAUGGGAUGUCGGCACCGCAGGCUGUGCCAUAGCGCCGGCGCCCUGAUGGAUUUCAUAAUCCCCGUGCCCAGGUGAGCGUCUGGCAUAGAGUCAUGAUACUGAAUGUUUGGAAAAGCCCUUUAGACCACAGGGAGUUCAAGGUCACUGCUCUCGGGCCUUGGGUCUUGCCUGCUCCUCACAGCCGGAGCUCUUUGACCAGCAGGCCCCUGUGGGGGCAACCAGGAGGAGGAGGGGAGGGGCACACCCUCUCUGCAAGGCCCUGCUGCGAAGCCUCCAUCCCAUCGUCAGAAGGCAGGGGAGGCUGGGCCCGGCCGAGAGCAGGCCGCACAGCUGGGGUGCCCGGUGGGUUCUCCCUCUGAGUGAGACUGAGGAGGAGCCACUGGAGUCCCAUGAGCGGCUGAGGGGAGUCCAGCUGCCCCGGCCACUGGCGAGCUCCGGGAGCCCAGUGAGUCGCCUCGGCUUCCUGAGCCCUGGCCUCCGUCCCCGGCGAGCGGGAACAGCUGCGGCUGACUUGCAGGUGUCAGGUGAAGGGAUGAACUGAGCUGCAGCCCUGGCCCUGCCAGGCAGUCUCUCUGUGGCCUGGCGUCCAGCUCCCCGUGCAGGAGGAGGAGGCGCUCAGAGCCGGGCUGGGUGACGCCUUAGCGAGAAACUGGGGCAGAGAAUCCGGCACUGCACGCACGGCUGGACUUGAGGGUCUGACCCUGAGACUCUGGGGAGAGGCUUCUCUGUUUCAUUUAUUUCAAAGGCAGAGUGACAGAGAGAGAGAGAGAGAGAGAGAGAGAGAGAGAGAGAGAUCUGUAUCCACUGCAUCAGUCUCCAAGUGGCCACAACAGCUGGGGCCAGGCGGAAGUCAAGAGCCUGGGACUCCAUCCGGGUCUCCCACGUGGGUGGCAGGGGCCCAGGUGCUUGGGUCAUCUCCCGCUGCCCUCCCAGGAGCAUUAUUAAAAAGCUGGAUCGGAACCAGAGCGGCCAGCACUGGAACCAGCACUCUGAUGCCUGACGCGUGUGCCCCAGCGCCGGCCCCAACGUGUGUGUUUAUUUAGUCCUUUGCAGUUCUAUCAGAUGGGAACGUCUAUUGGCUUGAAGUGUUUUCCUCCUGUGAGUUUUCGGUUCUGCUUCCAGCUAUGUCUGCUUACGUUUUGUUGAAUGCCAAACCUUGUGUAACAAAAAUAUCGCGUGAGAGUUUGGAUGCUGAUGCGGUGUUCCUCCAGGGAGGGUUUACUUCUGCUUCUGCCAAGCUGUCGCUGAACGGGCAGGCACCUUAACUCAGUGGUGAACGAGCGCUGGGGGUUGGAACUCAGCGGGGGAGGGCUGGAACUCAGCGGGGGUUCGGGUGCCCCCCAAGGCGCCAUGUGUUACAGUGUAACCCCCGUUGCUAAGUAGGUGGACCUUGAUCCGACUGUGGGAUUUGGAAGUGGGAGCUUCAGGAGCCGCUAGGGUUAGUCAGGGUCGUUAGGAUGGAGCCCCGUGGUUGAAUCCUGGUGGCUUUGUGCCCAGAGGGAGCGGGACUCACAGACACAUGCCCGCCUCCUGGCACAUGAGGCCCUGUGCCACCUCGGGCCUCUGCCAGUAAGAUUUUUUUUUUUUUGACAGGCAGAGUGGACAGUGAGAGAGAGACAGAGACAGAGACAGAGACAGAGACAGAGAGAAAGGUCCUCCUUUUCUGUUGGUUCACCCCACAAUGGCCGCCGCGGCCAGCGCACCGCACUGAUCCCAUGGCAGGAGCCAGGUGCUUCUCCUGGCCUCCCAUGUGGGUGUAGGCCCAAGCACUUGGGCCAUCCUCCACUGCACUCCCGGGCCACAGCAGAGAGCUGGCCUGGAAGAGGGGCAACCAGGACAGAAUCCGGCGCCCCGACCGGGACUAGAACCCGGUGUGCCGGCGCCGCAAGUGGAGGAUUAGCCUAGUGAGCCGCGGUGCCGGCCCCAUUAUAGUCUUGAACCGUGGAGCAGUACCAUUUCUAUUUCAUCCUACUUUGAAAGCGCAGCUCUUUGGGGUCCGGUUAAAGCCUGGGACGUCCACCAGAGCCUCGUGCUGGACUUGGGUUCCCAGAUAGAAGCUCUGCAUCUCCCUGCCGUCUGAUUUCUUGAACGUGUUAGCUGGCCGCUCGACUGCCCCGUGGCAGAGUGACACACACAGAGAGAAACAGAAAAAUCUUCCACCUGCUGGUUCAGUCCCCAAAUGGCCACAACAGCCAGGUCUGGACCAGGCUGAAGCCAGGAGCCAGGAACUGCAUCCACGUCUCCCGUACUGGCAGGGGCCCAAACACGUGGGCCGUCUCCUGCUGCCCUCCCAGAAUCUUCUUGGUGAAAAUUCUGCGGCAGAACCGCCCUGCUUCAGCCUUGGCAGCGCUUCGACAUCCAGGAGGGGCCGACUUUGCAAGGAGAAGACGCUUACUUAGGUUCUGCAGGUGCAAAGCUCAAACAGCGUGGGGCAGGCUGUGGCGGGUCUGGUGGCAGGAGCGCCCGCAUCUCUCUGUGUCCCCGUGGUCCCCGUCCCUCCCCUCUGAAGCCACCCGGAUUGAAUCUGGGCCCUACCUCAAUGACCUAGCCCAGUGCAGUCAUUUCCCAAGGCCCAGCCACUCCACGCCGUGACUGGAUGCCGUCUGCUGCCGCCUGGGCCUGUUAACCCGAGACUCUGGGGACCGCACUCCUGCGCUCAGGCCACCCGAGGCCACCUCAGAGACUUUCAUUCGAUUUCCCACGACUUUCCUGAAGGCCCCUCACGGCAGAGGCUAAGGUGCAUUAACAGGGAGCUGGAUCGGAAGUGGAGCAGCCGGGACGCAAACUGGCACUCGUAUGGGAUGUUGACAUCACAGGCAGCGGGUGAACCCACUAUGCCACAAUGCUGGCCCCAAGUGCCCGUUCUUAUUUGCCUGGAGCCCUGGGUCAUGCUGUAUCCGCUUGGCCCCUGUGGGCAGGGACUGGAGACCGAGCGGUCAAGGCUGUCAUUUGGAUGCUCCUUAGUACAAACCCAGACUCCAUGGCUCAGCGCGCAUCCCCGGUGAUGGCUCUCUGCGUGUGACACCAUCGCUGCUGGAAGAACCAAGCGCCGCCCUCAGACUCGGGCGAGGACGCCGGAGGCUCACUCCUGGUCUCUCCUGGCCUCUGCCUCAGCAAAUCUGGACUCGCGCUGGAGGAGACUGGAAGCGGCGCAGGAACGCGGCAGCCACCUCGGGAGACGUCGCGGCUGUCCUGUGGGCAGAGCCCGUGCAGCCACCAGCCUCCUGGUCCUCACGGACUGAAGUCGGUCCUGUUGGGAGCCUGGGAAGCUUUGGGAAAGGCUGGGGAGCCCUGUCCUGCUGUGACCCCCGACCCCUGAUGGGGGGACCAGGCCAACAAGAACAGUGACAAUAUUGACAGAGUAAGCGGACGGGGCCGUUGAGCUCCUGAGAUGGUGUGACAGCGAGGACCCUGCCAGGCAUGGGUGGGGCAGGGGCCGGGCGUGCCAGAGCAGUCCAGGUGGGUGGUGGGGAGGGGAGGGCUUGACACCCACCGGAGCCCUCUCUCUGCCCUACCCCUACCUCCCCAGGAACCCCACAAAAUGCAACACUGGGGGUGCAGGCACACGGCCGGGGCAGAUGGACUCCCAGAGGACAAAUCAGGGACCCAGAUCCCAGAACUGGGGCGCACGGUGGGGAUGGCAUGUUGGAACGAGGUCACCGCCCAGUUGCUGGAACUGGGGCACUUUCCAUGUGGGACUUGCGUGCUGCACACACCCUGGGAAACGAGCCGCGUCCGAGCCUGCGACCGGACAGAACCGGAUCGGGGUGGGGGGCAGUCCAGGGGACCUCCUUUGCCUCCCCACCACCCACCCAGGGCCACCCCCUCCCUGGCGAGAAGACUCUCAGAGUAAACUG